This 786-nucleotide ribosomal RNA is filed under the name Triticum aestivum (bread wheat). RNAcentral describes it as "partial small subunit ribosomal RNA". Lineage: Eukaryota; Viridiplantae; Streptophyta; Magnoliopsida; Poales; Poaceae. The record is from RNAcentral.
AUGGGACUUCCACAACUAGCUCAAAACCCCUCUAGCUCGACCAGGGACCCAAAUGAUCGGAGCAUAUGGGACCUAAUCUGGAAAUCCAAGGUGUCAGGGAAAAUACGAAUCUUUGAAUGGAGGGUAGCUACAAACACCCUAGCAACAAAAGAGAACAAAUGGAAGAGAACCCUUGAGUUGGAUGCUACCUGCAACAUUUGUGGACAUGGAAUAGAAAAUGAACAUCAUGCAGUGAUUAUGUGUACCAAGAGCAGAGCAUUAAGAGCUGCUAUGAGAGAGGAUUGGAGCUUACCUGCUGAAAACAAGUUCUGGUUCACAGGUGAAAACUGGCUGCAAGUAAUGUUGGACACAAAAAGUGAGGGAACGCGCGCCAGGAUCCUGAUGUUACUCUGGCGAUGCUGGCAUCUCAGGGAGGACUGCGUGCGAAAUAAUGGCAGAGAGACAAUUAGUAGUUCAGUGCAAUUUCUGAAAAAUUAUGAGGAAGAAUUAAGAAUGGCAGCGGCAUCAGCUGAGUGGACGAGUGGAAAGACUGCAGAAAACUUCAGCCAGAACGGAAAUCCGAAUACUGCACAUCUUGUCCAUGCAUCUGAACGUUCUGAAGAAAAGUGGAUCCCGCUAGUACGAUGUACAGUUAAGAUCAACACGGACGCAGCCUAUCUAGCAGAGACAGGAGAAAGCACGGCUGGCGCAGUCGGUCGAGACUACCAAGGCUCGGCCCUCAAUCAGUCUGCAAGAAAUUGCCACUGUGCCGAAGCGUUGAGGAGGUCGAAGCUCGAGCCAUUCUGA